AUUGAACGCUGGCGGCAUGCUUUACACAUGCAAGUCGAACGGUAACAGGCCUUCGGGUGCUGACGAGUGGCGAACGGGUGAGUAAUGCAUCGGAACGUACCCAGAGGUGGGGGAUAACGCAGCGAAAGCUGUGCUAAUACCGCAUGUGAUCUGAGGAUGAAAGCGGGGGACCGAGCAGCAAUGUUUGGCCUCGCGCCUUUGGAGCGGCCGAUGUCGGAUUAGCUAGUUGGUGGGGUAAAGGCCUACCAAGGCGACGAUCGUAGCUGGUCUGAGAGGACGACCAGCCACACUGGGACUGAGACACGGCCCAGACUCCUACGGGAGGCAGCAGUGGAGAAUUUUGGACAAUGGGCGCAAGCCUGAUCCAGCAAUGCCGCGUGCGGGAAGAAGGCCUUCGGGUUGUAAACCGCUUUUGGCAGGAACGAAACGGUGUCCGCUAAUACCGGGCGCUAAUGACGGUACCUGCAGAAUAAGCACCGGCUAACUACGUG
This 491-nucleotide ribosomal RNA is filed under the name uncultured bacterium. RNAcentral describes it as "partial 16S ribosomal RNA". It matches the Rfam family "Bacterial small subunit ribosomal RNA", at positions 29 to 507 of the family's 1533-position model. The record is from RNAcentral.